AUCUCCUGGCACCAUUCUCUAAUAAACUCUUAAAUUUGUUCUUAUCAGUUUAAUAUCUGAUAUGUUCUCAAUAUGAGAACUGUAUAUUAAAUGGAUUUUUAGAACAGGGAGUUGGAAUAGGAGCUUGCUCCAUCCACUCCACGCAUCCGCCUGGUAUUGCAGUACUUCUGGGCAGGGAAAAAAAAAA
Small nuclear RNA from Chelonoidis abingdonii (Abingdon island giant tortoise), 187 nucleotides. Its record names the gene U2. It matches the Rfam family "U2 spliceosomal RNA". From Rfam's summary of the family: U2 is a small nuclear RNA (snRNA) component of the spliceosome (involved in pre-mRNA splicing). The record is from Ensembl. NCBI's taxonomy places the organism in Eukaryota, Metazoa, Chordata, Testudines, Testudinidae.